Non-coding RNA from Caenorhabditis elegans, 146 nucleotides. NCBI's taxonomy places the organism in Eukaryota, Metazoa, Nematoda, Chromadorea, Rhabditida, Rhabditidae. The record is from Ensembl.
AAAAGAAGAAGAGAAAGUAGAAAUUUGAGGAGUCUCAGGACGCCAAUUAUUUCUCGCACAGGUGCACUCUACAUCUCCGGAAGUUGUUGUAUCGCACGGGUAUCUUUUUCUCUUUGCUCUCUUCCUUUUCUUUGAUUUUGAAACAU